CCUACGGGUGGCAGCAGUGGGGAAUAUUGGACAAUGGGGGCAACCCUGAUCCAGCCAUGCCGCGUGUGUGAAGAAGGCCCUCGGGUUGUAAAGCACUUUCAGUGAGGAAGAACGCCUGGUGGUUAAUACCCAUCAGGAAAGACAUCACUCACAGAAGAAGCACCGGCUAACUCCGUGCCAGCAGCCGCGGUAAUACGGAGGGUGCGAGCGUUAAUCGGAAUUACUGGGCGUAAAGCGCGCGUAGGUGGCUUGAUAAGCCGGUUGUGAAAGCCCCGGGCUCAACCUGGGAACGGCAUCCGGAACUGUCAAGCUAGAGUGCAGGAGAGGAAGGUAGAAUUCCCGGUGUAGCGGUGAAAUGCGUAGAGAUCGGGAGGAAUACCAGUGGCGAAGGCGGCCUUCUGGACUGACACUGACACUGAGGUGCGAAAGCGUGGGUAGCAAACAGGAUUAAUACCCCAGUAGUC
RNAcentral lists this ribosomal RNA (464 nucleotides) under Vreelandella stevensii. RNAcentral describes it as "partial 16S ribosomal RNA". It matches the Rfam family "Bacterial small subunit ribosomal RNA", at positions 338 to 795 of the family's 1533-position model. The record is from RNAcentral. Lineage: Bacteria; Pseudomonadati; Pseudomonadota; Gammaproteobacteria; Oceanospirillales; Halomonadaceae.